This 467-nucleotide ribosomal RNA is filed under the name uncultured bacterium. RNAcentral's name for it is "partial 16S ribosomal RNA". It matches the Rfam family "Bacterial small subunit ribosomal RNA", at positions 29 to 507 of the family's 1533-position model. The record is from RNAcentral.
ACGAACGCUGGCGGCGUGCUUAACACAUGCAAGUCGAACGGAAAGGCCCUGCUUUUGUGGGGUGCUCGAGUGGCGAACGGGUGAGUAACACGUGAGUAACCUGCCCUUGACUUUGGGAUAACUUCAGGAAACUGGGGCUAAUACCGGAUAGGAGCUCCUGCUGCAUGGUGGGGGUUGGAAAGUUUCGGCGGUUGGGGAUGGACUCGCGGCUUAUCAGCUUGUUGGUGGGGUAGUGGCUUACCAAGGCUUUGACGGGUAGCCGGCCUGAGAGGGUGACCGGCCACAUUGGGACUGAGAUACGGCCCAGACUCCUACGGGAGGCAGCAGUGGGGAAUAUUGCACAAUGGGCGGAAGCCUGAUGCAGCAACGCCGCGUGCGGGAUGACGGCCAUCGGGUUGUAAACCGCUUUCGCCUGUGGCGAAGCGUGAGUGACGGUAAUGGGUAAAGAAGCACCGGCUAACUACGUG